This is a long non-coding RNA of Lemur catta (Ring-tailed lemur), 907 nucleotides long. RefSeq lists it as uncharacterized. Lineage: Eukaryota; Metazoa; Chordata; Mammalia; Primates; Lemuridae. The record is from RefSeq and is a predicted model, not a curated record. The transcript has 3 exons.
GUGUCAUCAUAGCUCCCUGCAGCCCUGCACUUAUGGGCUCAAGUGAUCUUCCUGCCUCAGUUUCCCGAGUAGAUGGGGCUACAGGCCGCCACUGCACCCAGUUCAUUUUGCUAGUCUUUGUAGAGACUGGAUUUCUCUGUGUUUCUCGGGAUAAUCUUGAACUCCUGGCCUCAAGGGAUCCUCCUGCCUCAGCGACGGACGUGCUGGGAUCGCAGGACCACAGGUGCAGCGCAGAGCUGAAUGCAGGGUACUUUCUUCCCAGGCAGAAAUUUUUGUUUUUCUGUUGCCAAAUGUACUGGCCUUUACUUGUGAACAUCUGGACUUUCUUUCCUGCUGAGGAAACACCCGUGUUGAGAAGGCCUUGGAGGUGAUCAGAAAUCAUCUGGCAUUUUCUCGUAGAUCUUUUUUGUUAGGUGUUUUGCAGUUGAGUCUCUGACUGCCCUGCAGUCCAGCUAGUGUUUAUGCAGCCUCCCCAGCACCGUCCCCCGCGGGGGCUUCACUCACCUGCACGUCCAGGCAGACACUGGGGACCUGGCCGCAGGAGGGGCCCAAGCCAGGCCUGGACAGAGGAGAGGAGGACACAGGGCAGGGAGUGCAGGUUGGCUGGGGAGCCCGUGCAUGCUGUCACCUGCACCCGUCCAUGGGGGGCCUGCUGAGUACCAGGCACUAUCCUGGUGACAGCAGCUGCAACCCCAGCGGCAGUGCUUGGGCACCACAGGUGGCAGGGAGAGUCGUGCACAGCAUGACGCUGGAUCAGAUAAAUGCAAAACAAGGCAGGUCAGGGAUGUGGUGACAGGUGACAUAGCCAGGUGGCCAGGAAGGGUGAUGUCUGAGAAGGAAGAAAGAGCGCAGCAGACAGGCGGGUGGCACACAAUGGCCCAGCGCUACCAAGCAGUUUGGGACUUUU